Molecule: long non-coding RNA, 1199 nt
Filed under: Sparus aurata (gilthead seabream)
Lineage: Eukaryota; Metazoa; Chordata; Actinopteri; Spariformes; Sparidae
Description: lncRNA (ENSSAUG00010006464.1)
Source: RNAcentral
GAAGGAUUUUGGUGGGGAGGGGAGGGGGGGACACACUGCAUUUCGUUGGCCUUGCAAGGCUAAAAGGAGACAUGCCGAGCUGGCUGAAGAGCAACAAAAAAAAAAAGUCCACUUUGAACAGAUGGACAGACAGGAGAGACUGUUAAAAAUACUUUAGGGGCCCUUGACCUGUGUGUGGGCUAAACCAACAGGUGUAGAAAAUGUCUUUGUCUAUGUGUGGGAUCAGGCAGUUAGAAGAAAAGGGAAAAUCUGCACUUGUUAUUUGGGGGUCAUGUCUGAUUCUUGCAUGAUAUCCCACAUUAACUGCACAGUGAGAGACCUCAGAGAACAAAAAGAUUAAGCAUGGAAGUAAACCUUUGAGUUUGCUGUACCAUUAGACAACACAGUAAUAAAGCAAUUACAGAAAGAUACAGCAUGUACACAGUAUGCACAAACAUUUUGAAUUAAGAACGCUAUGCCAACUUAUCAUUACAUUUUAAAUAUAAUUAAAAUGUUAUUGGGAAUAUGUAAUAUGAUUGGUCAUUUACCCACAAAAAUCCAGAUGCUCUUAAAAUGAGUGUUGAAAAUGAAAUUCAGUUCAGCAUGCAAGGACAAACAUACCAUGGCAUGGAUAAUAAAUAGCAUUUCACAAAAACAAGGUGUAAUGUUUAAAAUUUAAGAAUGACACAGGACGAAAGGAAAACAAUUCAACAACAUUUUACAAGCGCACAUAAUCUGCUAUAUAUACAAUAUGUAGGUACACAUAGAGUAGAUUUUUUAAAAUUGAUUAUACUGAGUGGUUUUUGACCUGGUUCUUGUGUGUGUGCCUGCCCUACAGCUGGCCAUGAGGGGACCCCCUGGGCCGAUGGGUUUGACAGGAAGAUCUGGGCCAGUGGGUCUUCCUGGUAAUUCUGGACUGAAAGGUGAAGGUGGAGACCCUGGUCCUCAGGUGAGUAAGAAGUUAGGAUCUGAAUAAUAAUGCAUGAAAAUAACCCUCACCAGUGAAUGAAGGCCACAUUCCAAGUUACAAGUUCUGUUCGUCACUAAGUGAUCCUCCUGUGUCUAUACAGGGCCCCCGUGGCAUCCAGGGGCCUCCAGGACAACCUGGCAAAGCUGGCAAGAGGGUGAGUGAACUCAACGACCUGCUCCUCUCACUGUGCUGUGUGUGUGUGUGUGCUCACAUGUCUCUGUAUUUGUUGUUGUGUGGUUGUUUGUACUUG